UACGAAGGGGGCUAGCGUUGCUCGGAAUCACUGGGCGUAAAGGGUGCGUAGGCGGGUUUUUAAGUCAGGGUGAAAUCCUGGAGCUCAACUCCAGAACUGCCUUUGAUACUGAAGAUCUUGAGUCCGGGAGAGGUGAGUGGAACUGCGAGUGUAGAGGUGAAAUUCGUAGAUAUUCGCAAGAACACCAGUGGCGAAGGCGGCUCACUGGCCCGGUACUGACGCUGAGGUGCGAAAGCGUGGGGAGCAACAGG
Molecule: ribosomal RNA, 251 nt
Filed under: uncultured bacterium
Lineage: Bacteria
Description: partial 16S ribosomal RNA
Rfam family: Bacterial small subunit ribosomal RNA
Source: RNAcentral